GGAAUAUUGCACAAUGGGCGCAAGCCUGAUGCAGCCAUGCCGCGUGUAUGAAGAAGGCCUUCGGGUUGUAAAGUACUUUCAGCGGGGAGGAAGGGAGCGCGGUUAAUAACCGCGUUCAUUGACGUUACCCGCAGAAGAAGCACCGGCUAACUCCGUGCCAGCAGCCGCGGUAAUACGGAGGGUGCAAGCGUUAAUCGGAAUUACUGGGCGUAAAGCGCACGCAGGCGGUCUGUUAAGUCAGAUGUGAAAUCCCCGGGCUUAACCUGGGAACUGCAUUUGAAACUGGCAGGCUUGAGUCUUGUAGAGGGGGGUAGAAUUCCAGGUGUAGCGGUGAAAUGCGUAGAGAUCUGGAGGAAUACCGGUGGCGAAGGCGGCCCCCUGGACAAAGACUGACGCUCAGGUGCGAAAGCGUGGGGAGCAAACAGGAUUAGAUACCCGGG
Molecule: ribosomal RNA, 440 nt
Filed under: uncultured Pantoea sp.
Lineage: Bacteria; Pseudomonadati; Pseudomonadota; Gammaproteobacteria; Enterobacterales; Erwiniaceae
Description: bacterial SSU rRNA
Rfam family: Bacterial small subunit ribosomal RNA
Source: RNAcentral